UCAUGGCUCAGGAUGAACGCUAGCUACAGGCUUAACACAUGCAAGUCGAGGGGCUAUCACUGAGAUAGCUUGCUAUUUCAGAUGGCGACCGGCGCACGGGUGAGUAACGCGUAUCCAACCUGGCCCGUAGUAGGGAACAGCCCGGCGAAAGUCGGAUUAAUGCCCUAUGUUCUCCGAUGAAGACAUCUGAGUUGGAGCAAAGAUUCAUCGCUACGGGAUGGGGAUGCGUCUGAUUAGGUAGUAGGCGGGGUAACGGCCCACCUAGCCAACGAUCAGUAGGGGUUCUGAGAGGAAGGUCCCCCACAUUGGUACUGAGCCAGGAUCAAACUC
RNAcentral lists this ribosomal RNA (330 nucleotides) under uncultured Prevotella sp. RNAcentral describes it as "bacterial SSU rRNA". It matches the Rfam family "Bacterial small subunit ribosomal RNA", at positions 17 to 338 of the family's 1533-position model. The record is from RNAcentral. Lineage: Bacteria; Pseudomonadati; Bacteroidota; Bacteroidia; Bacteroidales; Prevotellaceae.